GUAAAUUUCAGUUUUAACUGGGAUCACAAAAUGUCCAAAUUCACUAGGACUCGUGAAUCAAGUUCCAAUUUCAAGGCACAAUUUAGAACAAUUCAGUAAUAACAAGAUUAAAGGAUAUUAGAUUUAACAACGGAUCUUAGUGCGCAUGCAGAAGUGACACAAAGUCAAUGAUAUGCAACCUUUCAAAGUUAAGUAAAAAGAUGGUGAAAAAUGUAGUCACAGAACAUAGUAAGGAUUCAAAAAUUGCAAACCAAGAUGGUGCUUUGGAUGUUUGACCAACAUAAGCACCACAGGCAUGAAAAGAGGUCAAGAAGUCAACACAAUGUUCAGUAGUUUCAAAUUGUUUGCAAGUUUUCUAGAUCUAGGGUUUCAACCCAAAUCUUACAAGAAACACCAAAUAUUUAAGUUAGAAAAUAAUUUUGUAACCAAGAACAGCCACUAAAGGCAGGAUCAUUCAUUGUGUUUGGAUCUAAGGUUAUAAAAAUACUAGAUCUAAAUAGUUCGAACUGUGUAAAAAGUUUUUCUUGUGUCAAAUAUUCAAUUGAAAGUUCAAUAAACCUUCCGGUGACUAGAUCUUUCAAAAAUAGAUCUAGGGUUUUGGAAAAAACUUUGAGAUCUUAAAUGAUUGAAACCAAAAUCAACUAUGAAAAUUGAUUUUUUACGGUCAAUCGACCAUCGAAAAUCGAAAAAUAGAUAGUUUAAUCUCUGAUACGACUAUUAUACAAAUAUUACUCUUCAAAGAUUCAAAUCAUACAAACCCUUCAGAGAAGUUUACAACUAGAACCAGAACACGAAAGAUAUCAAGAUAUCUCAAAAUGGGCUCAGAUUAUAUUGUACCAUUUUGUAUCCUAGUAGCCACAAACCCAGAUCCUUUAACGUUGAAGUUGCUUCUAUGGAUCAAAAGAUCUCAACCUAGAUCUCGAACAAUCUUCUCACAAGGAUUCACUUAGAAUACUGAGCAAAACUUCCAAUCAAAGGUUGAACUCGAAGGGGACAAGACGAACUGAAGACAGGAAGAAAAUCCUAGUCUCUCAAAAGAAAAUCAGACAAUUGGAAUGAUUAGGGCAAUAAUAGAAGCCCCUAUUUAUACCCCUAACCACCACCAUUGAAGUUGCAUUAUGGAACAUAAUUUCAGCCCUUUAUGUUGGUUCCAGAUUUUGGGGCAAACUCAUGAAAUUAUCAUGCAAUAGUUUACCAAUCCACAGGAAUUUGGAACCCAAGUAAAAGUCAUUGAAGACGCAACUACUACAUGCAAAAGCCAAGGAUAAAAGGUAUAACUUCCCAAAAGAUUAAAUAAGUUAUAUAAAGAAAGAUUUAUGAUAAAGGUACAUAAAAGGUGAUGUUUCCAGACGACAAAUGUGCAUCUUUCCAAGUGCUCAAAUCCCAUAAGUUCUAAAUUCAUAAAAGUUGAAAGCUUAGUAUAAAUUAAUUAAGACCAUUGGAAAAUGUAGAUAUUUC
This 1458-nucleotide long non-coding RNA is filed under the name Olea europaea subsp. europaea. The record is from RNAcentral. Lineage: Eukaryota; Viridiplantae; Streptophyta; Magnoliopsida; Lamiales; Oleaceae.